RNAcentral lists this ribosomal RNA (2310 nucleotides) under Triticum aestivum (bread wheat). Its description in RNAcentral is "partial small subunit ribosomal RNA". Lineage: Eukaryota; Viridiplantae; Streptophyta; Magnoliopsida; Poales; Poaceae. The record is from RNAcentral.
AUGAGCAAACUCUCUAUAAGCUUAAUCAGUUUUACAAAACAAAGAAGCAAGAAAGGUUGGGCUAAAGAUGGAGACCGCAAUACUAAAUUUUUUCAUCAAGCUGUGGUCAAGCGUAGAAAGAGGAAUACUAUUUGUUCUGUUAAGGAUGAAAAGGACAUGAUGCAAUUUAAGCCCACUGCUAUCACUAACACUUUUGUUAGCUAUUUCCGAUAUAUAUUUUCUUCUCCCAACAAUAAUUCUGAGAGACCUUACCCUCAUUCUCAUUGGCCUAAUGAUUCCCUAGAUCCUACUUAUGCUCUUCCAGAUAAACAGGAGGUAUUGCAGAUUCUCAAGGAGAUGAAAUUAAAUGCUUCUCCAGGGCCGGAUGGGUUCAAUGUGGAGUUUUAUUUGGUAGCUUGGGACUGGAUAUUUUAUAAUACUGGUAUUUUGCCUCCUCAUAUUAAUGACACAAAUAUUGCACUUAUUCCAAAAAAACUUGAGCCUCAUGUUCCCAUGGAUUACCGGCCUAUUAGUCUUUGUAAUGUUGUGUAUAAGAUCAUUGCGAAGUCUCUUGCUAAUAGGAUUAAAUUGCAUUUGCCUGAUUAUAUUGAUCCUGCUCAGCAAGCUUUUAUUGAGGGUAGAUGCAUUAGUGAUAAUAUCAUCAUUGCCCAAGAAAUCACACACUCUUUCUCUCUUAAAUCUUGGAAUCAUAAUGCCUUUAUGCUUAAAAUUGAUUUGGCCAAAGCUUUCGAUCGUUUGGAAUGGAAUUUUAUAGUGGCUGCUCUUACACGUAAAGGGUUGCAUGGUCAUUUCAUUAACUUGGUGCAUGCUUGUAUUUCUUCUCCCAUGUUCUCGGUCUUGAUUAAUGGUCAGCCCUCGCGUAAAUUUAGAAGCUUCAGAGGUAUCCGUCAGGGCUGUCCCAUGUCACCUUAUUUGUUUGUCAUCGCUAUCAAUGAAUUGUCUCUUGCUCUUAAUGAGGCUCUGGCUGCUCACCAUUUGCAGGGAAUUUCUCUUGGACCAAACUGCCCUCCUAUUCACUCUUUGUUGUUUGCAGAUGAUUUGUUGGUUUGUGGGCAGGCAAGUCUUCAAGAGGCUCAUUCUAUGGCUCAAAUCAUUAACCAUUUUUGUGCCUUCUCAGGACAAACUCCAAACUGGGCUAAAUCAGCAAUUCUUUUCAGCUCUCACAUUCCUCAAACUAUAAUUCAUGCUAUUAAGAAGAUUUUCCCGGUUUCUAACUUGGAUAGCAGUUUUGUUCAUCUUGGUCAUCCUCUUGUGCUUCCAGCUAAGAAUAGAGCUUCGGCUUACAACUUUGUCAUUGAAAAAUUUCUGAAUAAGCUACCUACUUAUAAAGCUAACAUGCUUUCCCAUGAUGCCAGAUUAGAAUUGAUUCGUUCGGUGUUCUUGGCUAUACCUGUUUAUUAUAUGGCUAACAUCUUGUUUACCAAGAAGUUCAUAGCUAAACUUACUGCAAUCAUUAGGAAUUUCUGGUGGACAGGUGUUCGAGAAAGUGAUUCCAAAAAGAGCCUUUGCCUCCGAGCUUGGAAGGAUAUUUGUAACUCUAAGGAAGAGGGAGGAUUAGGAAUAAGGAACUUGAAGGCUAUCAAUGAAGGUCUCCUUCUCACAGCUGCUUGGAGAUUAGCUAAGUCUCCUUCUUCUCACUUGCAUCUUGUUCUUAAGGCUAAAUACUUUCAUAAUGCCUCCAUAUGGACAGCCUCUGCUAAUUCUGCUAAGUCGGCUUUUUGGGCUUCUAUUCUUAAAAUUCUACCGAAACUCAAAGCCCAUUCUUUUUAUCAAUUAUCUCAAGGCAAUAUCUCAAUUUGGAGCACUCCUUGGUGCUCUCUUUGGAGAUCAGUUCAUGAUUGUCUUAUUCAUCAACGACAUGGUUUUCAAUAUCCAUCUUUAGUUAAAGAUCUUUGGCUUCCGGACCAAAAAACUUGGAAUCAUGACUUGGUUUGCUCUCUUUUUCAAGAACCUUUGGCCUCUCUUAUUGUGCAAACAGAUAUUAUUGAUGAUGAUAGUAUGGAUACGCUUUGUUGGGAUCUCACUCAUAAUGGUAUUUGUUCUUCAAAAUCUGCCUACAAACUUUGUUUGCAGGAAAUUCAGGCCAUUCCCCGAAAUGCACCUUCUGUUGUUCCUUUGGAUUUCUCAAAUCUUCUUAAACUCAUUUGGAAACAAAAGGAUAUGCUCCCAAAAGUUAAAACUUUUGUGUGGAGACUACUUAGGAGGGAUCUUCCUACAGGGUUGAGGGCUGGUAGAUUUUCCUUUCAUAUUUCAAAAACUUGUUGCCGAUCUGGUCAACAAGAGGAUGAGGUCCAUCUGUUUUUCAUGUGA